GUGGGGAAUUUUGGACAAUGGGCGCAAGCCUGAUCCAGCAAUGCCGCGUGCAGGAAGAAGGCCUUCGGGUUGUAAACUGCUUUUGUACGGAACGAAACGGUCCGGGUUAAUACCCUGGGCUAAUGACGGUACCGUAAGAAUAAGCACCGGCUAACUACGUGCCAGCAGCCGCGGUAAUACGUAGGGUGCAAGCGUUAAUCGGAAUUACUGGGCGUAAAGCGUGCGCAGGCGGUUUUGUAAGACAGGCGUGAAAUCCCCGGACUCAACCUGGGAAUUGCGCUUGUGACUGCAAGGCUGGAGUGCGGCAGAGGGGGAUGGAAUUCCGCGUGUAGCAGUGAAAUGCGUAGAUAUGCGGAGGAACACCGAUGGCGAAGGCAGUCCCCUGGGCCUGUACUGACGCUCAUGCACGAAAGCGUGGGGAGCAAACAGGAUUAGAUACCCUAGUAGUCC
This 450-nucleotide ribosomal RNA is filed under the name uncultured bacterium. RNAcentral describes it as "partial 16S ribosomal RNA". It matches the Rfam family "Bacterial small subunit ribosomal RNA", at positions 354 to 796 of the family's 1533-position model. The record is from RNAcentral.